This 74-nucleotide small RNA is filed under the name Polaribacter vadi. RNAcentral's name for it is "Flavo-1 RNA". It matches the Rfam family "Flavo-1 RNA". Lineage: Bacteria; Pseudomonadati; Bacteroidota; Flavobacteriia; Flavobacteriales; Flavobacteriaceae. The record is from Rfam by way of RNAcentral.
CUGUUGCGUUAAGGAUUGAAAUGACAUCCUUUUUUCUUUUCUGAAAAAAGAUAUAAUGGAAAGCCUGACCCUGA